RNAcentral lists this ribosomal RNA (363 nucleotides) under Cytophaga sp. Its description in RNAcentral is "bacterial SSU rRNA". It matches the Rfam family "Bacterial small subunit ribosomal RNA", at positions 38 to 402 of the family's 1533-position model. The record is from RNAcentral. Lineage: Bacteria; Pseudomonadati; Bacteroidota; Cytophagia; Cytophagales; Cytophagaceae.
GGCGGCAGUCCUAAUACAUGCAAGUCGAGGGGUGUAUUACUUCCGGGAGAUAGAGAGCGGCGUACGACUGCGUAACACUUCUGCAACCUGUGCACUACUGGGGGAUAGCCCAGGGAAACUCGGAUUAAUACCCCAUAACACCGCGAUAUCGUAUGGAUAGAUUGUUAGAGAUCUAUCGGUAGCGGAUGUGCAUGCGUCCGAGUAGCUAGUUGGUAGUGUCACGGACUACCACGGCGACGAUCCGUAGGGGGUCUGAGAGGAUGAUCCCCCACACUGGUACUGAGAUACGGACCAGACUCCUACGGGAGGCAGCAGUGGAGAAUAUUGGACAAUGGAGGCAACUCUGACCCAGCCAUGCCGCGU